Mesocricetus auratus (golden hamster) is the source of this 107-nucleotide small nuclear RNA. The record is from Ensembl. Lineage: Eukaryota; Metazoa; Chordata; Mammalia; Rodentia; Cricetidae.
GUGCUAACUUUGGCAGCACAUGUACUAAAAUUGGAACAAUACAGAGAAUAUUAGCAUAGCUACUGUACAAAGAUGACACAAAAAUCUGUGUCAUUUCAUAAUUUAGA